GCCCACAUUCUAGCGGCAACAACAGGUAUGCCAUUCCUCAUCGCGUAAAAUGCUUCAAGUUGCGUGGUGGCAAAUGGCCCAUUGUCAUUCCAGGCUGCAAUGAUAGCACCUUUAUUGCCCUUCGCGCCGGGCUUAACCUGUUCCGUCACGUUUACUGGAUUGAAAAGUGAUGGCUCCCAUUGCCAGUCUGGUUUGUUGGCGAAGUUCAAAGUCCGUGUGUUAUUAAAAAAUUGUGGGUAGGUUGCCGGGAAGAUAGGGGUGUGGUCACUCUUCAAGGACAUAUAUCCCCACCAGUCUUCGGAGUUUAUGUAUCGAUAUCCAUCUUUAUUCAAAAGGAUGGGGUCGGAUUGGCCAUACUGCCAAUGCUGAAUAAUAAUAUCUUUAGAGAUAGUCAUGUCAUCGGAAGGCUCGUAUGUUCCCCAGAUACGAAUAUCUUUUCCGGAUUUCGACUUAACAAACUUGGCCAUUUCAUUGACAAAGUGGAUGUAGACGUCCGCAAGAGUAGGAUCAUACUCAUCAGCACCGAUAUGCACUUCCUUCGUCUGGAACCAUGGGAGGAAUUCUUCCCAGAUAGAUUUAACGAGUGGGAUUGAAUCGGGAUUAGUUAGAUCCAACAAGUCCUUCUUCUCUAAUGCAAGCUCUGGUUUCCAUUUGGUGAGGAAGAGACAGUGUCCCGGUGCUUCGAUCUCUGGAAUGAUUGUGACUCCACGACGCGCACAGUGCUGCUGGAGGUCUUCGAAAUCCGCUCGAGAAAGAGUUUCAUUCGCGCGCUGAAUGACGCCUUUCAAUUGCUCGUUCUCAGGAUGUAGUGAGAACUGGGAGUAUACUUCAUACCACGUAUCAUUGAGUCCUCGGUUUAGAGGAUAGUUAUCACUGCUGUGGUAUUGGAAUUCAGACAUCUUGAAGAAUGAUGCGUAUGAGCAAAGUUCCUUUAGGAAAGAUGGUGUGUACCACUUCCGUCCGGCAUCGAGCAGGUACCCACGACUUGCAUAAGCUGGGGCAUCGAAAAUCCGGCCAGCCGGGAUCUCCUUUUCGCCAUGUACAAGCAAUAGUUGUAAGAAUGUGUGGGUGCCCCAGUACAUUCCACGGGCGCCAGUCCCACCAACAAAGACCUGACCAUUCUUGAUUUCCAGCUCAUAACCCUCCUCCGACUUAGUACCGUCCUCGUAAGUCAAUGAAUCAGCAUCUUGUCUGAACCCUCCUAGAAUAAUGCCUUUGGCAUCACUAGGGACUUCUUUUAUGCGCUGAAGGGUCCAUUUUUCGCCUGUAGCUUGCUCCAGAUCCGAGAGAAAGGUUUCCGCAAAUUCAUAACCGGAGGGCGGGAUGAGGGUCAAUCCAUUCUCAUCUCUUCGUUCCGAAAACUUCUCAUCGAUAUACACCGUUUUGGGGGCUUCCGAGAUUGAGAAGCCCGACCCGGGGGUGUUGUCAUUGCCAGGCCAAUCCACAGGUGGUAGGGUUUGCAGCGCUGCGACAGCUGUGGCAAGCAAGGGUAAUAGUAGACGCAUCAUUGCUUCUGCGCAAGGAGAAAAGCCUAAGUGAUGGGGCAGCUGUUGCUUGCAUUUACAUCGAGUAGCACAGGCAUUGUUAGCCUUUUAUAGGAAAGGCUGUUUGAAAAUAGUGAAGGACCCAUAGCUUCGGCAUUCAGUAAUUGGAUUGUGACACAGCGAAGCAAGCUGUGCGACAAAAAAAUGUCGUAUGCAGCUAAGAUGCUAGCGGAGCUCCACCAGGCGUGGGGGUGCUCCCGUUAUCCGGGGUAAGGCUCAGAUAGGUAACAUCCAGGUCACACCGACAGGAACACCGAUCUGCAAGUCUGAUGAAACUCUUAGACGGUGGUCUGUCUUUGCAUGUAACUCAUGGACCUUUUGUCCAAUGAUUGAAAUUCUCCGCCUUCUUCUACCCCGCAGAGGUUCUGGAAAACAACCCCCACGUCAGGGGAUGUGGGAAAUCCAGGCAAAAGGUACCUGGACUUGAAACAAGCUGAAAGACAAUUGUGGUCUUGGGGGCUCGUGGGGGUUAUACGGGCAAUGGAAUUCAACAGGAAAUUUUAGUUCACCACAUAUGUUCAAAAUGACGAUGUUCAUGAUGAGAACUUACAUGUCAACAAAGUUGGGGUCGAGACGGAUUCCUAUGGGGAUUUACCACUGCAUCAAAGGGGCCAAUAUUUCAAGUAAGGUAGCCAUUUUAAGAUAUGGUAUAUAACAGACUGGUAUAUAAGUUUUUCAUCCAUCUGACAGUUACUCACCGGAG
This 2247-nucleotide small RNA is filed under the name Histoplasma capsulatum. Its description in RNAcentral is "hypothetical RNA". Lineage: Eukaryota; Fungi; Ascomycota; Eurotiomycetes; Onygenales; Ajellomycetaceae. The record is from RNAcentral. RNAcentral also lists the same sequence under 1 other name.